Molecule: ribosomal RNA, 425 nt
Filed under: uncultured bacterium
Lineage: Bacteria
Description: partial 16S ribosomal RNA
Rfam family: Bacterial small subunit ribosomal RNA
Source: RNAcentral
GUGGGGAAUCUUGCGCAAUGGGCGAAAGCCUGACGCAGCCAUGCCGCGUGAAUGAUGAAGGUCUUAGGAUUGUAAAAUUCUUUCAUCGGGGACGAUAAUGACGGUACCCGGAGAAGAAGCUCCGGCUAACUUCGUGCCAGCAGCCGCGGUAAUACGAAGGGGGCUAGCGUUGCUCGGAAUUACUGGGCGUAAAGGGCGCGUAGGCGGACAGCUUAGUCAGAGGUGAAAGCCCAGGGCUCAACCUUGGAAUUGCCUUUGAUACUGGCUGUCUUGAGUUUGGGAGAGGUGAGUGGAACUCCGAGUGUAGAGGUGAAAUUCGUAGAUAUUCGGAAGAACACCAGUGGCGAAGGCGACUCACUGGCCCAAUACUGACGCUGAGGCGCGAAAGCGUGGGGAGCAAACAGGAUUAGAAACCCCGGUAGUCC